GCUGGGCGCAGUGGCGCAUGCCUGUAAUCCCAGUAGCUCUGGAGGCCGAGGCAGGAGGAUUGCGAGUUCAAAGCCAGUCUCAGCAAAGGCAAGGCACUAAGCAACUCAGUGAGACCCUGACUCUA
RNAcentral lists this small RNA (125 nucleotides) under Marmota monax (woodchuck). Lineage: Eukaryota; Metazoa; Chordata; Mammalia; Rodentia; Sciuridae. The record is from RNAcentral.